CCUACGGGUGGCAGCAGUAGGGAAUAUUGCUCAAUGGGGGAAACCCUGAAGCAGCAACGCCGCGUGGAGGAUGAAGGUUUUCGGAUUGUAAACUCCUUUUGUUAGAGAAGAUAAUGACUGUAUCUAACGAAUAAGCACCGGCUAACUCCGUGCCAGCAGCCGCGGUAAUACGGAGGGUGCAAGCGUUACUCGGAAUCACUGGGCGUAAAGAGCGCGUAGGCGGGAUAGCAAGUCAGAUGUGAAAUCCUAGGGCUUAACCAUAGAAAUGCAUUUGAAACUGUUAUUCUAGAGUAUGGGAGAGGUAGGUGGAAUUCUUGGUGUAGGGGUAAAAUCCGUAGAGAUCAAGAGGAAUACUCAUUGCGAAGGCGACCUGCUAGAACAUAACUGACGCUGAUGCGCGAAAGCGUGGGGAGCAAACAGGAUUAGAUACCCCGGUAGUC
RNAcentral lists this ribosomal RNA (440 nucleotides) under uncultured bacterium. Its description in RNAcentral is "partial 16S ribosomal RNA". It matches the Rfam family "Bacterial small subunit ribosomal RNA", at positions 338 to 795 of the family's 1533-position model. The record is from RNAcentral.